UAGCUCAGUGGUAGAGCACAUGCUUGGUUAGCAUGAGGUCCUGGGUUCCAUCCCCAG
Molecule: transfer RNA, 57 nt
Filed under: Camelus bactrianus (Bactrian camel)
Lineage: Eukaryota; Metazoa; Chordata; Mammalia; Artiodactyla; Camelidae
Also listed under: 2 other names
Rfam family: tRNA
About the family: Transfer RNA (tRNA) molecules are approximately 80 nucleotides in length.
Source: Rfam by way of RNAcentral